AUGCGAGUCGCACAGCGGCAUCAUUGCACGGAUGCAGUCGAGCGAGGAGUUGUUGCACAGCGGAACGACACCCCUCGGCAACCUGAACACUUCGGGAUGUUGAGGAUCGUGCUUGAACAGUUCCAGGAGCAUCGCGUCCAGUUCCAGGACAGUGAAGUUGAAGUUGAGGCCCGGGCGCAGCCUCAUGAUAUCCGCCGCAUUCUGGAACUCCCAGGCGGGUCUCCUCCUCUCCUGCAGGGGGGCGAUGCGGCGACGAAGAAAAUCUGCGCCAACGGCGCCUACAGUGAGCCCGACAAGCCUAAGGCAUAG
This 309-nucleotide ribosomal RNA is filed under the name Triticum aestivum (bread wheat). Its description in RNAcentral is "partial small subunit ribosomal RNA". The record is from RNAcentral. Lineage: Eukaryota; Viridiplantae; Streptophyta; Magnoliopsida; Poales; Poaceae.